CUCCGGUUGAUCCUGCCGGACCCGACUGCUAUCGGAUUGAGAUUUAGCCAUGCGAGUCGAACGUUCCCCUGUUGCGGGGAGCGUGGCGUACGGCUCAGUAACACGUAGUCAACCUGCCCUGGAGACAAGGACAACCCCGGGAAACUGGGAUUAAUCCUUGAUAGGUCAUCUCAUCUGGAAGGAGAGAUGGCUUAAAGGGGUACGCGGGCUUCUUCCGCGAAUUCGCUCCAGGAUGGGACUGCGUCCGAUCAGGCUGUUGGCGGGGUAAUGGCCCACCAAACCUGUAACCGGUACGGGCCUUGAGAGAGGUGGCCCGGAGAUGGACACUGAGAGAAGGGUCCAGGUCCUACGGGGCGCAGCAGGCGCGAAACCUUCGCAAUGCGCGAAAGCGUGACGAGGUUAAUCCGAGUGACUCCCGCUGAGGGGGUCUUUUGUCAGCUGUAAAUAGGCAGGCGAAUAAGGGGAGGGCAAGCCUGGUGUCAGCCGCCGCGGUAAUACCAGCUCCUCGAGUGGUCGGGGCGAUUAUUGGGCCUAAAGCAUCCGUAGCCGGUUCCGUAGGUCCUCUGUUAAAUCCAACCGCUCAACGGUUGACCUGCAGAGGAUACCGCGGGACUAGGAGGCGGGAGAGGCGGACGGUACUCCGCGUGUAGGGGUAAAAUCCUUUGAUCCGCGGAAGACCACCAGUGGCGAAGGCGGUCCGCCAGAACGCGCUCGACGGUGAGGGAUGAAAGCUGGGGGAGCGAACCGGAUUAGAUACCCGGGUAGUCCCAGCCGUAAACGAUGCUAGCUAGAUGAUUCAUUCGCAAGUCGCGAAUGAAGUGUCGCAGGGAAGCCGUUAAGCUAGCCGCCUGGGGAGUACGGUCGCAAGACUGAAACUUAAAGGAAUUGGCGGGGGGCACA
RNAcentral lists this ribosomal RNA (900 nucleotides) under uncultured archaeon. Its description in RNAcentral is "bacterial SSU rRNA". It matches the Rfam family "Archaeal small subunit ribosomal RNA", at positions 1 to 880 of the family's 1478-position model. The record is from RNAcentral.